AGGAUUAACGCUGGCGGCGUGCCUAACACAUGCAAGUCGAACGAGGUAGCAAUACCUAGUGGCAGACGGGUGAGUAACGCGUGGUCAACCUACCGUUGAGUGGGGGAUAACUAGCCGAAAGGUUAGCUAAUACCGCAUACGAGUCUUGGGGGCAUCCCUGGGACUUAAAAGGAGCAAUCCGCUCGAUGACGGGACCGCGUCCCAUUAGCUAGAUGGUGGGGUAACGGCCUACCAUGGCACCGAUGGGUAGCUGGUUUGAGAGAGCGACCAGCCACACUGGGACUGAGAAACGGCCCAGACUCCUACGGGAGGCAGCAGUGAGGAAUUUUCCGCAAUGGGCGAAAGCCUGACGGAGCGACGCCGCGUGUGGGAAGAAGGCCUUCGGGUCGUAAACCACUGUCGAAGGGGACGAUAAUGACGGUACCCUUGGAGGAAGCCCGGCUAACUACGCGCCAGCAGCCGC
Molecule: ribosomal RNA, 463 nt
Filed under: uncultured bacterium
Lineage: Bacteria
Description: SSU rRNA
Rfam family: Bacterial small subunit ribosomal RNA
Source: RNAcentral